ACGAAGGGGGCUAGCGUUGCUCGGAAUUACUGGGCGUAAAGGGAGCGUAGGCGGACAUUUAAGUCAGGGGUGAAAUCCCGGGGCUCAACCUCGGAACUGCCUUUGAUACUGGGUGUCUUGAGUGUGAUAGAGGUAUGUGGAACUCCGAGUGUAGAGGUGAAAUUCGUAGAUAUCUGGAGGAAUACCGGUGGCGAAGGCGGCUAACUGGUCCAGAUCUGACGCUGAGGUGCGAAAGCGUGGGGAGCAAACAGGA
Molecule: ribosomal RNA, 253 nt
Filed under: uncultured prokaryote
Description: partial 16S ribosomal RNA
Rfam family: Bacterial small subunit ribosomal RNA
Source: RNAcentral